Molecule: long non-coding RNA, 9769 nt
Organism: Oncorhynchus keta (chum salmon)
Lineage: Eukaryota; Metazoa; Chordata; Actinopteri; Salmoniformes; Salmonidae
Exons: 3
Source: RefSeq, a predicted model, not a curated record
GUGAAGAGCAGAUAGAGGAACGAGAGCGGAGAGAGGGAGAGCAGACAGAGAGGGAACAAGGCAGUCGGCUGAUUCACCACCCCUCCAUCCAUCCCUUUUUCUCUUUCUCCUCCUCUGCUUCAGUGAUGGGGUAGUGGAGGUGUGUGUGGGAAAGGAAACCCUUCCUCCACACCCAAACAGACCACUGCUCCUAAUCCCUUCCACCGGCCUCCAUCCCUCUCCCUUCUCCCAUAUUCAUUACUACCUCCAGCUCUGUCUCAUUCCUUCUCACCCCAUCCCAUCAUCCCAUCUAUCUCUCUAUCGCUCUGUCUUUCUCUCCAGCCCCCACGCCCUUCUAACCCACACGCUCUGUGUCACCACCGUGGUGAAGAAAAUGAUCGGCGAACAAGCUGGAAAAGGUAGAGGAGAGGACAGAGAGAGGAGAAGGAGAGGAAGAGUGAACUCUGUCCAUUCAAAACAAUCCAGACUUUCCCGUUUCCCUGAUGGAUUAUCGCCGGCCCCGCGGACAGGAGGAGUGGAGGAGAAACGAAAACGACCAAUAGAGGAAGAGAGCAGACAAGAAUUGAGCUCUGGACAGCCAGGUCGCCUAAAGGUCUUGUCUGCAGGCUGUGCUUGGGACUCGGGCUAAUUGUGGAGUAUUCUCAGGACUCCAGCGGAGGAGAGAGAGAUGCUUUCUCUUUCUUUUCAUUCUAAUUAAUUGCCCUCUAUGCAAACACUCAAAGAGCCUUUCUCUUUGAGGGAAAUAAUUUCAUAUUCUGUUCAUAUCAGUAUUUUCCAUUUGUUUUUUCCACACAUACUGUACCUGUAGGCUGCCACUCAAAAAGAAAAAGAAAAAGAAAAAAAACAUACAAAAACUCUCUGACAUCCCUAGGGGGUUUGGGAGUGGGUGUACAGGGACAUGAGAGAAUGAACGUGAGAGUGAGAGAUAAAACAUAAUAGUGUGGAGUCUACUACAAAUAAGUAUUUCCCAGAGUGGUGUUAGGGAGGAAAGAAAGGAAAAUACUAUUUUCACCUCAGGUCUAACCAGUGCUGUGGAUAGACAGAGUAAGACAUCGGUCCCUGCUCAUCGGUCCCUGCUCAUACAACACCGAGACUGAGAAGAAUGCACAAGACUGAGGAGAGAACGGAUGGACAAACACACAGACAAGUCAGCCCUCCGACCCCAAUCGCAUUCUGGUCCAUCUCUGUUAGGGUACAGCGCCCUACACACACAUACACUUACUCACAUACACACUCACUCAUACACACACUUAUGCACACACUCAUACACAGACACAAAAUAACCUUGGCUUCGUCUGGGACCCUUUUCUUUUCCGAAUGAUUUAUUUUUCUAGCACCCAUUUUUCCCUCUCUCUGCCCCCUUCUCUCCCUUUCUCUCUCCCAUCUCUCCUCCAUCUCUCCAUAUAGACUCUGAGAACACCAUAUCUCCACUACACACACCUCUACACUUCCUGAUUCUUACAUUGAUUGGUCUUUCAGUUCCUCCCUUCUACAUAUCUCUACUUCUCUUCCUCUCCCUUUACCUCUUUUUCUCACCGUUCUUCUUUCUCUCCUUUUCUCUCUCUGUCUCUCACCCUCUCUCACUCUCCUUUGCUUUCCUGCCCCCCUCGGCACACCUCACUCCCUCUCUCUUCUCCUACCGCUCCCUCACUUGCUCGGUCUCAUUGUCUUCACAAACAGCAGUGUUAGUGUGUGUGUGUCCGGGGGAACCAAUCCAUUCUGCAGUGGAGCCACGGAGCACAGGGGAGCCUGAGGUACUACAUGUGUCUCAAUCAAACCAUGCCCCAGUUCACCUUUGCCUGUUUCUGUGGUCUGCACGGCUUCUGCCGGAGACGGACAAAGAAUAAAAAUAAGAAAAGGGAGGAACAAGUGGAGAUGGAGGAGAAACAGAGGGAUCAGGAGACACAGGUGUGAAGGAAGUCUGGAGGGACUUCACCCUCCUCUUCAUCUUCUCAGAGACUGUUUUGGUCAUAGUUGAAAAUCGGUUGAAACCCCUUCCCGUGUACCUCAGUCCUUGGGAAUGAAGGCAGGAUAUUUUCACCAAACAUACUCAGUACCACUGAUUUUUACUCAAUUUAACUUAAAACUUGUGGUCUGCAAUUUCUGUAAUUUUCAUCAUAUGUACACUUCAACUAUGACAGACAAAAUGAGAAAAGAAUCCAGAAAAUCACAUUGUAGGAUUUUUUAAUUAAUUUAUUUGCAAAUUAUGGUGGAAAAUAAGUAUUUGGUCACCUACAAACAAGCAAGAUUUCUGGCUCUCACAGACCUGUAACUUCUUCUCUAAGAGGCUCCUCUGUCCUCCACUCGUUACCUAUAUUAAUGGCACCUGUUUGAACUUGUUAUCAGUAUAAAAGACACCUGUCCUCAAACAGUCACACUCCAAACUCCACGAUGGCCAAGACCAAAGAGCUGUCAAAGGACACCAGAAACAAAAUUGUAGACCUGCACCAGGCUGGGAAGACUGAAUCUGCAAUAGGUAAGCAGCUUGGUUUGAAGAAAUCAACUGUGGGAGCAAUUAUUAGGAAAUGGAAGACAUACAAGACCACUGAUAAUCUCCCUCGAUCUGGGGCUCCACGCAAGAUCUCACCCCGUGGGGUCAAAAUGAUCAUAAGAACGGUGAGCAAAAAUCCCAGAACCACACGGGGGGACCUAGUGAAUGACCUGCAGAGCUGGGACCAAAGUAACAAAGCCUACCAUCAGUAACACACUACGCCGCCAGGGACUCAAAUCCUGCAGUGCCAGACGUGUCCCCCUGCUUAAGCCAGUACAUUUCCAGGCCCGUCUGAAGUUUGCUAGAGAGCAUUUGGAUGAUCCAGAAGAAGAUUCGGAGAAUGUCAUAUGGUAGAUGAAACCAAAAUAUAACUUUUUGGUAAAAACUCAACUCGUCGUAUUUGGAGGACAAAGAAUGCUGAGUUGCAUCCAAAGAACACCAUACCUACUGUGAAGCAUGAUGGUGGAAACAUCAUGCUUUGGGGCUGUUUUUCUGCAAAGGGACCAGGACGACUGAUCCGUGUAAAGGAAAGAAUGAAUGGGGCCAUGUAUCGUGAGAUUUUGAGUGAAAACCUCCUUCCAUCAGCAAGGGCAUUGAAGAUUAAACAUGGCUGGGUCUUUCAGCAUUACAAUCAUCCCAAACACACCGCCCGGGCAAUGAAGGAGUGGCUUCGUAAGAAGCAUUUCAAGGUCCUGGAGUGGCCUAGCCAGUUUCCAGAUCUCAACCCCAUAGAAAAUCUUUGGAGGGGGUUGAAAGUCCGUGUUGCCCAGCAACAGCCCCAAAACAUCACUGCUCUAGAGGAGAUAUGCAUGGAGGAAUGGGCCAAAAUACCAGCAACAGUGUGUGAAAACCUUGUGAAGACUUACAGAAAACGUUUGACCUCUGUUAUUGCCAACAAAGGGUAUAUAACAAAGUAUUGAGAAACUUUUGUUAUUGACCAAAUACUUAUUUUCCACCACAAUUUGCAAAUAAAUUCAUUAAAAGUUUUACAAUGUGAUUUUCUGGAUUUUUCUUUCGAAUUUUGUCUGUCAUAGUUGAAGUGUACUUAUGAUGAAAAUUACAGGCCUCACUCAUCUUUUUAAGUGUGACAAUUGGUGGCUGAUUGGUGGCAAUUGGACAAUUGGUGGCUGACUAAAUACUUUUUUGCCCCACUGUAUAUAUUUUUUACAUUAGAUAAAAGUCUCAGAGGUAGAAAAUUGUAUAUCAUACACUGCAGUUGAGGAACAAUGGGAAAGUAAUGAUAUUUGAAAGUCGAUAAACUUGUAACUCCACAAUGAACCAUAAUUCCCAACCCAUACAGUAAUAGCAAUACAAACUGAUUGUCAUAGCUAGCCACCAUGCAUGAAUCUGCAGGUAGGUAAAGCUAAUCAACUAUGUUCAAUGUUAGCUAGCUAGCUAACAUUGGCUUAUAACUAGCAAUGCAAAUGGAUUUCUGAUAUACUAAUAAUAUUCCUACACAGAUCAUACACUUAACGUUAGCUAGUGAGCCAACAAGCUAACGUUCGCUAGCCUCCUAACAGUUCGCUUUAACUUGCAAUGAAUACAACUUUCUAGCUAAAUUAGAAACUUAGAAUAUCGCUUCAUGGCAGACUGCUACCCCUUUAACUCUGUUUUGUUUGUAGUUACAGCUUGUUUGGCCUGCGUUGUGUCAAGUCACUCCAGUUCACACUGUAGGUAGUAGUAGUCCAUCUAAACUUUUUUCCACUGAUCUUUGUCUAUAGCGCCUGCUAUAAUUCAGGGCAGCAAUAUUGUUGAGAGCAGUCCAACAUAUCUUUCAAAAAAGCCGCGGUAGCCAGGAUUCACAUACGAAGCAGCUCAUGUUAUAAACAGAAGCAUGCUACAUGGCUGACCAAUCCGAUCUCAUCUCUCAGCAUGUCCUGCCUAUCCAUUAUCUAAGCCAAUCCGGUCUUUUUCCAUGGCGAAACCAACUAGGAUCCUAAUUUAACAAUUUUAUCUGUAUUUACAAAUUGCAUGCCGUUUGUGUUAUUAAGACACAUGAAAGUGAUUAUGUUCCAGAAGGCAUUUAGAUUUGUUUUUAAAUGCCUAAUGCCUCUCCUGUGAAGUAGUGACGUGCGACAUACGCCUAGCUUCUUGAAACGGUUUAUAAAUGCCACUAGUGGCGUUGGGACACCUGUCACCUGUUACCUGUUUAAUAUGGAAGUAGUGAAUGUGAUUGUGUGUGCAUUGAAACUUCAUUGCAACUGGAGCACAGAGAGUUUCAGCACCUAGAUAUUCAUAUGCUGCAGAAUGGCCUUCACACACACACACACACACACACACACACACACACACACACACACACACACACACACACACACACACACACACACACACACACACACACACACACACACACACACACACACACACACACACACUCACACACUCACACACACACACACCUUCUCAUUAGCCUGUGUAAUUAUGCAUGGCACAUCUAGUUGGCCAGUGGAGAUGUAAUUAACCUUUUCCUGCAGGAAACAGCAGUCUGGACGUCUGACACACACACACACACACGUCUGGUGUCACGGAAAUAGAGCGUCAAAGACGACGUCUGGCAUUCAAUGAUAAUCCCCUCACGCAUAUUUACAUCCAAGGUUUAAACUAUUAAUGUCAGAUUACCUCUCCUCUCCCUUUAUCUUCCACCCUUUCUCUCUCUCCCUCUUCUUGUCCCCAGCUCCUUCUCUGACUUUCUUUCUCCUUCACUCUCCAUGUCUCUGUGUCUGUCUGUGUCUGGCUACACAAACCUCUUUCUCUCUUCCCUUCUGACUGUCUCUGUCUCCUAUUUCUCCUUUCUCAACCUCCUUGCCCACAUCCCUCUCUCUCCUGCUCCCUCUCCCUCUGUUCAUCUCUUUAUCUCUCAGUAAAACACGUUCUCUGGGCAGUGAGCAUGGCCUUGCCUGGCUGGCACCUCCAUAGAUUGACACCAGCACUCGCUCAGGGAGCCCUCUCGCCAAGUCCACAAAAGCUGCUUUACAACAGAUGAAGGGAUAGUGUGAUUGUGUGUGUGUGUGUGUGUGUGUGUGUGUGCGUGUGUGUGUGUGUGUGUGUGUGUGUGUGUGUGUGUGUGUGUGUGUGUGUGUGUGUGUGUGUGUGUGUGUGUGUGUGUGUGCGUGCGUGCGUGCGUGCGUGCGUGCGUGCGUGCGUGCGUGUGCGUGUGUGUGUGCGCGUGUGUGCUUGCGUGCGUGCGUGCGUGAGUGCACCCACAUGCGCGUGAGUGUGUGUGCAUGUGUGUGUGGUGGUCAUGUGUGUGCAUGUAUGUGUAUACGUGUGAGUUUAUAAGAAAAGAUAAAGCGAUAGGGUUGAGUAUUUUCCUAUUCUACCAUUGAGAACAGUGAAAUAGGAUAAAGCUAAGCCAUUUCACAGAGGUGAGCAGCUAUUAUGAGCCACCAUGUUACAGAAAGGCUUUUUAACAAGAAAGGGAGAGAGAAAAUGAUAGGGAGAGGGGCAGAGAGAGAACAGUUCAUGAGAGAGGGAUGGAAAUGGAAGAGGGAGCUAAUACUCGACACUCAUGCUAAUUGGCUACAGUUGCUAACUCUGUGAGGCGAGAGGAGGUUUAAAGAAGCACAGACUGAUCCCGGCAUUACACUUGUUUAAAGAAACGAUUCGCUUGAAUAAUGCAGAGGAGCUGAAAUGAAUAACAGGGUGUUAUUAGCAGUGGGAGGGCUGUUUUUCACCUGAGUGACUAUGUGUAGUCUUCUCAGCCAGGUCACCCGUGAUACAAGUCAGUAUUCGACGUCCAUCCAUUUCUGAGGACGUUGGGAGAUGACAUAGAAACGGGCACUAGGGGCAACAGUGAGCGCUGUUAUCUUCAAGUAGGUUUCGGUUUUGUAAGGACAUUGUGGAUGGGUGUAAGCAUCUGCCUCUGAUUCCAAAUUCAAAUCCAGUAACAAAAAGUAGUUGAUAUUUUUGUAGUUGAUAUCUCCAGCCUUAACCCUUACCUUAACCAUUUGAAGUUAACGUCUAACCUUAAGAAUGUAGAGUUAAUGCCUGAACUUAAUCCUAACAUUAAAAAUGCUGAGUUAAUGCCUAAACUUAACCUUAAACAAUUUGACAUUUGAUGUUUGGAACAACUUCAAAAUGUGAUGUUUGAGAAACAUUAAUGAACGUCUAAUUCUGACAUGAGACUGUGAGAGCUGAUACAGUCUUCUAUGGAUCAUAUCCAUACCAUGCAUAUGGAGCCUUAAUCAAAGACAAAUAGCUGAAAAUAGAUGGGAUUGACUAUAUAGCGACUCCCAGGCUUGGAAAUGUACUGAUUUUAGGGGCUAAGCCAUUUUUCCUUCAAGAGGUGCCCAAUCUGCCAGGGCAACAAGGUCAUCUGCUAGGGCACCAAUGCCAUUAACCAAAAUGGGCAAUUGAAUAGUGUAGGUGAUAGCCUAUGCAUAUUGGCUACAGCCUGUCAAGUCUAGACAGAUGCUGACAUGAGGGAGUCGCAGGUAAAUGUAUGACUUUUACUUACAUAUAUCGGCUAAACGCCAGUCAUGUUUGACAAAUAUAACGUAGGAUCCUUAUUAAUAUGAAAAGGAUUGAUUCUGUCGACAUACUUGAGGCACUGUUCAUUCAGAUAGAAGAGAAUGGCCAGUUCCUGAUGCACACUGCAUCACCCACCUUGCAAUCUGAGUGGAGGCAGUCAACAUUUUGAAACUGUUGAACCAUAAACAUAAUUGUUUAAAACCUGGAAGUGUUUUGUCAUUCUAUGAGGCAUGUCUUACCAUGUCCCAACCAUAUGAAUGUUAAGGGGAUUAUUUUAUGAACAUUUCCCCAUAUGUCAUUGAAACUAGUAACAUUCACCUGGAACUUGGAACAUUCACCUUUAUAGCCCACUGCCAUGUGCGCAUUGCUGUGCUUAUAAUGUGACGAAAUAGCCUAAUAGUUUAUCCUGCUUUGGAGUUGCGGUGGUUGUAAGAAGGAUCCGAUCAUGUGAAAGGCAUUGGCUAAUAAGAAUUAAGAUAUCUGAGCGAGCCAUAUGUGAGAGGUGCAUCGGAGCUGUGCUUCGGAGUACGGCGAUUGGCAGCUGGGAGAAGGGAAUUGUAAUUAGCCUAUUAUAUUCAGCCCAAGGGCACAAUGGGAACUGUCCACAAGGCAUGGAUUUUUUUAGGGGGCAUUACGGCCACACAAGUGGGCAUGGCCGUCAAUGCCCCCGGGAAAAUCGAGGCCUGGCGACUCCUAUGAAAGCAGGAGCAAAGGAAAAAGGGAGAGGGAGAGAAAAGGAGUGCUGUCAGAUUAGAUUUGGGUCAGAAAGGGAGGGAAGAGCCAGUGGGGCAGAGGGUGUUACAUAUGGACGAUAUUCAUCUCUUUUCCUUGCUCACUCUCUCUUUGUCUCACUACCACUUUCUAUCCCUCUGUCCCUCCCCCCAUCUCUCUCGCUCUUGCUCUCUCUACUCAAUACCUCACUAUCUCACACCUGCAAUAUAGGGGGAGGGAAGGGGAAAAGAAGAUGAAAACAUCACCUUCUCCUCUCCUCAUCCCCCUCUCUUUCCUAAUGAAGACUAAAGUGAUCUUUCUACUCUAAUGCUCUAAUUCGGCAAUAAGAGAUGGGAACUGAUAGAGAUUGAUAGAGAUGGAUUGAGAUAUAGUGAUAAAGAAAGGAGAGACAGACAGGGAGUGAGGAUUAAGAUAUAGAGAGGCAUAGAGAGGCAGGAUUUGAGGUAGAAAGAAGAGCAGGAAAGGAAGUGAGAGAAAGUGAGGAGCUUUUAUGUGACUGAGAGACAGAUAGGGUGAUGGGAGAUGAGACGGGAUGAGUAAAGUUAGAGAGAUAUUUUGAGAGCAGGAGUGAAAGAGCAAUAGGUUAAGAGAGAGAGAGAGAGAGAGAUGGUGUAAUUGUGAUGGUAAUAGGGUUUGUCAGGAGCACCUGUCAGGGUCGAGCUGAAGCGGCUCCGGAGCGAGGGGGGCGAUGGAGGAGAGGUAUGAAAUAGGGGAUUGGAGUCAGGAUCCCUCUGAGGAGAGUCCUAUAUCCAUGGCAGGAUUACCUGAUUGCCAAUUUGUGUCCGUCUCCAGACAUCACACAUAUAAAACACACACUCGCAUUCACUGCAGGGGAAGGAUGGAGUUGAUUGGACAGGCUCUUGGUGCCUAACGAGGUGUCUAUGGCAAUCACAGACCAGCUGCUUUGUGAUUGGAAGAGAAGGCUUGUAUUCACAUAAUUUCUAGAUGAAAAGAGAGUGCUACACUGAUUAUCUUCUAAAACCCAGCUUAGAAAAUCAAAGUGACCUUCAUGGGAGAGAUCUCAGAUAUUUAUGAGUACAGAGUAUGUUGGCUUAGGCAGAUUUAUGUUUUAAACAUACAGGUGUUAGUUAACCUGAGAAUUGUAUUAAAUGCCCACCCAGAUGCCUGGAGCGAGGCAGAGAGAAGAGACAGUGAGAGGGAAGGGCUGGGUAUGGAUCCUCAGAGAAAGACUGGUCCUCGGAUCAGAAAAUAUUGACAGGCUAUAACCCAAACACCCAGUUAUGUCUGACACUGUCUGACACCCAUCAUUAACAAACACACAAACACAAACACACACACACACACACACACACACACACACACACACACACACACACACACACACACACACACACACACACACACACACACACACACACACACACACACACACACACACACACACACACACACACACACACACACACAGAGUUUGUGUGUGUCGUGGAGGGGUGAGUAGUGUGUAUGUGUAGGGUAGUGGGCUGUAUGCUUGGGAUGCGGAGCACGUCAGAGGUCUGUGGAGUUUUAUUUGCAGAAAAGCCUCAUUAAAGAGGUGUAGGCUCAUCUUAACACAGCUAUCUCCAACCAGACCAGACCACACACACAGAGAGAGAGAGAGGGAGAGAGAGUGAGGGAGAUGCUGAGGGAGACACUGAGGAACACUUAAAGCACACACACAGACACACAUAUGAAAUACGAUAUAAAGCAUCUUUCUCAGGUUGCUGUGGUAUCACACAACGUUUAAGUGUGAGUGAAUGGGUUUGUUCUCAUCAGGAUUUUACCUAUCUCUCCCUCCAGACUCUCUCAUCUUCUGGGUUUCUCUGCUCUUGUCCUCUAUGAUCUUUCCUUUGUCCUUAAACUAUGUUCUCCUAUUCAUGUAUAUUUGCUUGUGUCAACUCCGCAGAGAUUGCCUAUGGUGUAUAUGUGUGCCUUUUAAAUCUGUGCUUAUGAAUAAAUAAUAGAUUCCUACGCACUCUGAUUAUUAAAGAAGCCAUAUUGCCAGGAACCCAUGAUGAAAUUAUAUUGUAAUUCAUGCCUCUCCGAUGAAUAAACAGAUAUUUUUCCUUCUUGCAA